GACGAACGCUGGCGGCGUGCUUAACACAUGCAAGUCGAACGGAAAGGCCCUGCUUUUGUGGGGUGCUCGAGUGGCGAACGGGGGAGUAACACGUGAGUAACCUGCCCUUGACUUUGGGGUAACUUCAGGAAACUGGGGCUAAUACCGGGUAGGAGCUCCUGCUGCCUGGUGGGGGGUGGAAAGUUUCGGCGGUUGGGGAUGGACUCGCGGCUUAUCAGCUUGUUGGUGGGGUAGUGGCUUACCAAGGCUUUGACGGGUAGCCGGCCUGAGAGGGUGACCGGCCACAUUGGGACUGAGAUACGGACCAGACUCCUACGGGAGGCAGCAGUGGGGAAUAUUGCACAAUGGGCGGAAGCCUGAUGCAGCAACGCCGCGUGCGGGAUGACGGCCUUCGGGUUGUAAACCGCUUUCGCCUGUGACGAAGCGUGAGUGACGGUAAUGGGUAAAGAAGCACCGGCUAACUACGUG
Molecule: ribosomal RNA, 468 nt
Filed under: uncultured bacterium
Lineage: Bacteria
Description: partial 16S ribosomal RNA
Rfam family: Bacterial small subunit ribosomal RNA
Source: RNAcentral